CGCGACAUUCGUUAGAGAAUGUAGGAGAUGCGCAUGCAGAAGGAUCAUUA
Molecule: ribosomal RNA, 50 nt
Filed under: Caulerpa macrodisca
Lineage: Eukaryota; Viridiplantae; Chlorophyta; Ulvophyceae; Bryopsidales; Caulerpaceae
Description: partial 18S ribosomal RNA
Source: RNAcentral